RNAcentral lists this ribosomal RNA (893 nucleotides) under Latilactobacillus curvatus. Its description in RNAcentral is "bacterial SSU rRNA". It matches the Rfam family "Bacterial small subunit ribosomal RNA", at positions 60 to 924 of the family's 1533-position model. Lineage: Bacteria; Bacillati; Bacillota; Bacilli; Lactobacillales; Lactobacillaceae. The record is from RNAcentral. RNAcentral also lists the same sequence under 1 other name.
AGUCGUAACAAGGUAACCGUAGAAGUCUUGAUUCGAUAACAUUUGAGUGAGUGGCGGACGGGUGAGUAACACGUGGGUAACCUGCCCUAAAGUGGGGGAUAACAUUUGGAAACAGAUGCUAUACCGCAUAAAACCUAGCACCGCAUGGUGCAAGGUUGAAAGAUGGUUUCGGCUAUCACUUUAGGAUGGACCCGCGGUGCAUUAGUUAGUUGGUGAGGUAAAGGCUCACCAAGACCGUGAUGCAUAGCCGACCUGAGAGGGUAAUCGGCCACACUGGGACUGAGACACGGCCCAGACUCCUACGGGAGGCAGCAGUAGGGAAUCUUCCACAAUGGACGAAAGUCUGAUGGAGCAACGCCGCGUGAGUGAAGAAGGUUUUCGGAUCGUAAAACUCUGUUGUUGGAGAAGAACGUAUUUGAUAGUAACUGAUCAGGUAGUGACGGUAUCCAACCAGAAAGCCACGGCUAACUACGUGCCAGCAGCCGCGGUAAUACGUAGGUGGCAAGCGUUGUCCGGAUUUAUUGGGCGUAAAGCGAGCGCAGGCGGUUUCUUAAGUCUGAUGUGAAAGCCUUCGGCUCAACCGAAGAAGUGCAUCGGAAACUGGGAAACUUGAGUGCAGAAGAGGACAGUGGAACUCCAUGUGUAGCGGUGAAAUGCGUAGAUAUAUGGAAGAACACCAGUGGCGAAGGCGGCUGUCUGGUCUGUAACUGACGCUGAGGCUCGAAAGCAUGGGUAGCAAACAGGAUUAGAUACCCUGGUAGUCCAUGCCGUAAACGAUGAGUGCUAGGUGUUGGAGGGUUUCCGCCCUUCAGUGCCGCAGCUAACGCAUUAAGCACUCCGCCUGGGGAGUACGACCGCAAGGUUGAAACUCAAAGGAAUUGACGGGGGCCCGC